UACAGAGGUCUCAAGCGUUGUUCGGAUUCAUUGGGCGUAAAGGGUGCGUAGGCGGCGCGGUAAGUCGGGUGUGAAAUCUUGGAGCUUAACUCCGAAACUGCAUUCGAUACUGCCGUGCUCGAGGACUGGAGAGGAGACUGGAAUUUACGGUGUAGCGGUGAAAUGCGUAGAUAUCGUAAGGAAGACCAGUGGCGAAGGCGGGUCUCUGGACAGUUCCUGACGCUGAGGCACGAAGGCCAGGGGAGCAAACGGG
Molecule: ribosomal RNA, 253 nt
Filed under: uncultured bacterium
Lineage: Bacteria
Description: partial 16S ribosomal RNA
Rfam family: Bacterial small subunit ribosomal RNA
Source: RNAcentral